RNAcentral lists this transfer RNA (68 nucleotides) under Tridacna crocea. RNAcentral describes it as "tRNA-Phe". The record is from RNAcentral. Lineage: Eukaryota; Metazoa; Mollusca; Bivalvia; Cardiida; Cardiidae.
GUUUGAGUAGUUUAAAUUAAAUAGGAUUGCUUUAAAGUAGUAAUGGUGGGCUGUCUUCCCCUCAAGCA